This is an RNA transcript of Leptopilina heterotoma, 5255 nucleotides long. It is a transcript of the gene named rho-associated protein kinase 1, with no coding region annotated. The record is from RefSeq and is a predicted model, not a curated record. The transcript is spliced from 13 exons. Lineage: Eukaryota; Metazoa; Arthropoda; Insecta; Hymenoptera; Figitidae.
AUGCGUGAGGUGAUGUGAUGUGAUGUGAUACAUAUUGAGAUUUAUGCAUUUUGAUAUACAUGCGUAGGGAAACUUGUUUUCAAAUUUAAUUUUAGUAUAUUUUUAAUAAUUUCAAAUUUUCUAUGUGCAGGAAUAAAUAAAUAUUUCGAGAUUGAAUGGAAUGCAAGUGAAACGUGGGAAUUUUUUCUUCUAUUCUAUACGUAGUAUGUAUGUAUGUAUAGAGGAAACUUGGUUUUGAUUAGUGUAGUACAUUUUCCAAAUGGCGCAUGUACCGCUCAGCUGGAAAAUAUUCAUUUACUACGCGAAGUAAUCGAGAAUGCAGUUUUAUUUGUCGACUUUUUAUAGUAUUAACAAAGUGCUGGACACUAUCUUGGUGAUUCUAUAGCACCUGCCGUUGGACCCUCCUAAACUCGAGACAAUCGCUGAUGUCACAGACAACUGUAUUCCUUCAUUCUGUCAACAAAUAAAUUUUACCUUUUCUUUACUGCAUAUACUUAUUUUAAAGUAGUGUGAUUUUAUGUUUGGUUGAACAAGUACAUGGAGUUUAAUUACAAGUGCACGCUGGCCAUUAAAUAUAGACAGAGAAAAAAAACUUUCCAAUAAAAAAUGAAAUUUCACUAGUAAUAAUGGCUGUGAAGUUAUCACAUGUUUUCUGUAUGUAAUGAAAGAUGUAUGAUUUUUUGAUUUAAUGAACAAUAAUCAAAAGAGGACGGUAAAGACUGUGUAGCGAAAGCUUUAAGACUAAAAAGAAAAUCAUGGAGGUUGCACGAGAUGAAGACCGAACCAGACGUCUUCGAACUCUCGAAGAUCGUAUAAAAGAUCCUCGCAGUAAUGCAAAUAUUGAUUGUUUAUUAGAUACCGUGCAGGCUCUUGUAGCAGACUGUGAUCACCCUAGCGUAAAGCGGAUGAAAAACAUUGAGACAUUUAUGAACAGAUAUGACUCAGUUGCGCAGGAAAUUCAUAAAAUGCGAAUGCGAACAGAUGACUUCAAUUUGAUAAAAGUUAUUGGUCGUGGAGCAUUUGGUGAAGUGCAGUUGGUCAGACACAAGUCCACUCAAAAAGUUUUCGCUAUGAAGAUUCUCAGCAAAUUUGAAAUGAUAAAACGAUCUGAUUCGGCUUUCUUUUGGGAGGAAAGAGAUAUUAUGGCUCACGCAAAUUCUGAAUGGAUCGUUCAAUUACAUUUCGCCUUUCAAGAUCACAAAUAUCUUUAUAUGGUUAUGGAUUAUAUGCCAGGUGGUGAUUUAGUGAACAUGAUGUCUAAUUAUGAUGUGCCGGAAAAGUGGGCACAAUUCUACUGUGCGGAAGUGGUACUCGCGCUGGAUGCGAUACACAAUAUGGGAUUCGUUCAUAGAGAUGUCAAACCGGACAAUAUGCUUCUUGAUAAACAAGGCCAUUUAAAAUUAGCAGACUUUGGCACUUGCAUGCGAAUGGACGCUGACGGUUUGGUGCGCUCCGAUACUGCAGUAGGUACGCCCGAUUACAUAUCACCCGAAGUACUCCAAUCGCAAGGUGGAGAAGGUGUGUACGGUCGCGAAUGUGAUUGGUGGUCUGUUGGAGUAUUUCUUUAUGAAAUGUUAGUUGGCGACACUCCUUUCUAUGCGGACUCUUUGGUGGGAACUUACUCAAAAAUUAUGGAUCAUCGAAAUUCUCUUCAUUUUCACGCGGAUGUUGACAUAACUCCAGCAGCAAAGAGUCUAAUUUGUGGAUUUCUUACUGACAGAACGAGACGUUUAGGUAGCAAUGGAGUCGAUGAAAUUAAAAAUCACCUGUUUUUUAAAAAUGAUCAGUGGACUUUUGAGACUUUGAGAGAAAGUGUGCCACCAGUGGUACCAGAAUUAACAGGAGACGAUGACACUAGUAAUUUUGAUGACUUGGAAAAGGAAGACGGGCCAGAGGAAAGUUUUCCGAUUCCAAAAGCAUUUUCUGGAAAUCAUUUACCAUUUAUCGGAUUUACUUAUUCGGGAGAUUAUCAGUUAAUGGUUAAUAAUAGCAGGGAGUCUGUUGAUGGUCUUGAGAAUCAUGUCAAUAAUGGUAUCAGUGAUGAAGGAAGAUUAGCACAGUUGGAAAAUUUACUCGAACGAGAGAGACGACAGAUGGAAAGUUUAGAGAUAAGACAUCGAACUUUAACAGCUCAAUUAGAAGCAAUUACCGAGCGAGAAGCUCAACUUAGAGAGGAGGCAGGCAGGGCUGAUAAGGAAUUGGCUCUUUUGAGACAUAGUCAUAAAGAAGCCCAACGGCGAAUUGAGCAGGAAACUGAUGUUCGUAGGAAAGCAGAGUCGUUACUUCUGGAGCUGAAAAAAAAAUUCGACGAGGAGCAAACGAGGAGAGUGAGGGAUGCAAGCAAUUCACAGCAAACAUCUGAACGCAUCACUAGCUUGGAAAAACAGAUAAAAGAGAUGCAGGCUAAACUUGAAAGAGAAACUGAAACUGUCAGCAGACUGCGAAAACAGUCAACAGAAGUGACUGUUGCUCGACAGGCAGCAGAACAAAUGGCUAAUGAAUUGCAAAUGGCAAGAAAUCAAUUACAAGCUCAAAGGGAUUCUUUGCAACAAGAGGUUGCAGCUUUACAGGGUCAAUUAUCAAAAGAAAGAAGUUCCCGAUCACAAGCAUCUUCUUUUACUGCAGAACUGGAAACGAAACUUUCUGCCUUGCAUCAAGAACUAGAGCAUAGUCGUGAAAGAGAAGGAAAAGCUACUUUGGACAACAGACAACUAAAUGAAAGAAUUUCAGAAUUAGAAAAGGAGGCGGCUACCUUAACUCUUGAAUUGAAAGCAGCACAAGCUAGAUAUGACCAAGAAGUUGUAGCUCAUCAGGAGACAGAAAGGUCGAGAAUGCUCUCAAAAGAAGAAGCGAACCUCGAAGUUGUUAAAGCUUUACAAGUAAAGUUAAAUGAAGAAAAGUGCGGUAGGCAACGAGCAGAAUCACUCGCUCAAGAGAAAGAACGACAAACUUCUAUGUUAUCCGUGGAUUACCGGCAAAUUCAGCAACGUUUACAGAAACUUGAAGGCGAACAUCGUCAAGAAGUCGAAAAGGUCAAAGUACUGCAAGGACAAGCAGAUCAGGAACAGCAAAAGAGGAAUAAUUUGCAAACAGAACUGGCUCAACAAUCUUCCGAAGCUGGACGAUUACGAGCUCGAGAACAACAGUUAAUGGAUGAGGUUGCGCAGUUAAGAGAAUCAAAACGGCAAAUUGAAGAAGAAUUACACCAUUUAAAAACCCAAAGAAACGUCGAUCAACUUCAAAUGAAAGAACUUCAAGAACAACUAGAAGCUGAGGCAUAUUUUUCGACUUUAUAUAAAACGCAGACACAAGAGCUCCGUGAAGAGCUUGAUGAUAAAACUAGAUCACAUCAAGAACUAGAGGAAGAACGAAAUUCGUUUUGUCAUCAGCUUGAACUUGCCCUUGCCAGGGGAGAUGCUGAAGCACUAGCAAGAUCUAUUGCUGAAGAGACAGUGGCUGAUUUAGAAAAGGAAAGAACUAUGAAAGAAUUAGAAUUUAAAGACAGUAUAGCUAAACAUCAUCAAGAAUUAAAUUCCAAGGAGCAAGUUGUCAAUAGAUUAAAGGAUAGCGAAUUAGAAAUGAAGAAAACAGUGGAACAAUAUUUAAAGGAGAAGGAAGAAUUAAAUAAACGUUUCAAAGAAAUUCAGGACCAACUCAACAAAGAGCAAUCAAAUGUCGAUGAAAUAGAAAGACUGAGCAGCAAACUGAAAACAGAGCAGCUUCUCAAAUUGCAAGCUGUAAAUAAAUUGGCAGAAAUAGUGAAUAGAAAAGAUUUGUCAAUUGGUGGAAAGUCGAAAAAUAAAGCAUCUUCCGCAGAUUUAAGGAAAAAAGAAAAGGAAUGUCGAAGGCUUCAACAGGAACUUACACAGGAAAGAGAAAAGUAUGGCCAAUUGGCUGCGAAAUGGCAAAAAGAUCUCCAGGACUUGCAGGCCCAACUUGUCGAAGAGAAUCAAUCCAAAUUGAAACUUCAAAUGGAACUUGACUCGAAAGACUCUGAAAUAGAAACACUUCAAAUGAAAAUAACAUCUAUUAAUUCAGAGACGGCCAGUGUUUCCUCUGUUGAAAAUGACGGAGAAGACUCCGUUUUGUCUGAGCAUGGUGCCAUGAGAUUAGAGGGCUGGUUGAAUGUUCCCAAUAAGCAAAAUAUUAAGAGACACGGUUGGAAAAAACAAUACGUCGUUGUAUCAUCCAAGAAAAUUAUUUUUUAUAAUAGUGAAAGCGAUAAAAUUAAUGCUGAUCCUGUUUUAAUAUUGGACUUGAGUAAAGUUUUUCACGUGAGAUCUGUUACUCAAGAAGACGUGAUUCGAGCAGAUGCCAAAGAUAUUCCUAGGAUAUUUCAGUUGUUGUAUGCUGGCGAAGGUGAAGCAAGACGCCCUGGUGACGAAGGUAAUGCUUUGCCAGGAGUGGAACUUCCUCAGUUGACUGACAAAUCAAUUCCUCAACCACUUAAAGGCCAUGAAUUUAUUUCUAUCUCCUACCACAUGCCAACCACUUGUGAAGUAUGUUCAAAGCAGUUGUGGCAUAUGUUUCGUCCACCACCUGCUCUUGAAUGUAGAAGGUGUCAUAUAAAGGUCCAUAAGGAGCAUUUAGAUAAAAAAGAAAACGCCAUAGCCCCAUGCAAAUUACACUAUGAUCCUAAUAGCGCCCGAGAAUUGCUCGUUCUCGCGGGAAGUCCUGAUGAUCAGAAAUAUUGGGUAACACGAUUAUCGAGGAGAAUUCAAAAGUAUGGAUACAAAGCAAAUUCACAUAUGGAUGGAGCAGGACAACGAGUUUCGCCAAGGUAGCGUAGCAGAGCAGCUCAACUGGGAACUAAAUUGCUCUUUUCUGUUGUGUCACCGCAUGAUUGGGUGUAGAGAGAGAAUCGACGAGGUCAACGCUCAAGCCUUAUUUGUCAGUUCAACAAAGGUCUGCUACAUUACCUGCGAAUGCGAGUAUGGGCAAGUGACUGCCAUUAAUUCGAUGACAUUUUUUAACGUCAUUACUAAUAUGUCAAUUAAAAUAUAAACUUUUGUUUAUUGACCACACAAUGCCCAAUCAAAUCAGAUAAUCGUAACUUAUCUGCUACUGUGCCACGUAUGUGAUUUUUCACUUGAGAAUUAUUGCAAAACUUGUAAAAAUGUAAUCUUUUCCAUAAUAUUUUUAUACAUUUCAUACCGUUUACUAAAUAAUUUUUAUGGCUGAAAGUAGUCUUGUAUUUUUGUCAUAAUUAUAUUUUUUCAUCAAGACAAAUACACUUGAGCUCAUGUUUGCAUAAA